Non-coding RNA from Petromyzon marinus (sea lamprey), 568 nucleotides. Lineage: Eukaryota; Metazoa; Chordata; Hyperoartia; Petromyzontiformes; Petromyzontidae. The record is from RefSeq and is a predicted model, not a curated record.
UUUACCGAAAGAACUAAGAAUAUGAAUUACUGCAGUCACGAAAGCUUUAAAUCAAAAUUCAACCGGGUCUGUUGUGUUCACAGAGAACAAGACAUCAUCAGCCGAGAAGACGGACGACGAGAACCAGAACAAGACAUCAUCGUCUUCAUCAUCAGCCGAGAACACAGACGACAAGAACCGGAACAAGACAUCGUCAGGCGGGAAGACAGGCGACGAGAACCAGAACAAGACAUCGCCGUCGUCAGCCGAGAAGUCAGACGGCAAGAGCCGUGAGUGCCUGACCCAGCGUCCUAAAACCCCUCGCCCGUGUGAGACGCUCGCAUCUCUCAGCAUGCGGGCAUCCACAUUGCACGGAACCAGAGCUCAGGGAUAACCUGUGCAGGAGCCGGCCACCCACGGUGUUGAAUUGUGAAUGAACUGUGACCUUCACUCAGCCAUUCAUUCGUGCAUGAAACGUUCCGCCCAUAGAGAGGUGCGGGGCGCGAAUUCUCCGCUGCGGGUUCCUCGCUGACUUCCGCUGAUCUCUUCGCUGCCCGCGCCGUCUUCCUCUUAGAAUGUUGAUGAGGUU